GUUUUCCUGACACUGUAUGUGUUCAUUUGGGAUUAGCAUCAUAUGGUGCUUCAAUAUUAAGGCGACGUGAGUGCAACAGUAAAAAGUGUAUUUCGGAAGUUCCAUCUCAUUAAGACAGGAAUGGAAAUGAUGUGUUUAAGUGGAAUGUCCUAUGAAGCGCCUCCCAACUCUGCUCUACAUCCUACAAACCGGUCCCCUGCAGAGCUCUCAUUAAACACAGUCCUGGCCCACAGCUCAAUUACAGAUAACUUGAGGUCAACAUGUAAUAACCCAGACCAGGUGCUGAUCAUCUGUCUGUACACCUGGCGUUCCAGAUGGGGAACAAUGGAGAGACGUUUUUCCUUUUACUACCUUCACUUCCUGUGGAAUAAACAGACGAGUGCCAGAAGAUAUCAGCUUUAACUGUAUGCAAAAGUUUAUUGAAUGACAACAGUAAUUCAUUUCACACUCAAUCACACACGCACGCACGCACACACAAAUAAAAUAGAUUCAAUUUACAAAUAUAUAAUUGCAUAAAACGUUAUCCUAUUACAACAGCUUGAGACAUCCUUGACAUAAAUGAAUAAUAUAUAUAAUAACGCUACCUUCAAUGCCCUUAUUUUUUCCCCCGUACAAAAAUAGCUCUAUCUCUGUAAGUAGUAUAAAGUAAUAUAAAACUAUUAAAUAGUGAUAUCUUUGACCAUUUUUGUUUUCAAAUAUACAUAUACUUGCGAUAAAAAAAA
Pimephales promelas (fathead minnow) is the source of this 722-nucleotide long non-coding RNA. RefSeq lists it as uncharacterized. The record is from RefSeq and is a predicted model, not a curated record. NCBI's taxonomy places the organism in Eukaryota, Metazoa, Chordata, Actinopteri, Cypriniformes, Leuciscidae.